AAAGACUAUAAAAGAGAUCUGGAGACUGAAAUUAAAGGGAAAGGGAUGCAGGUGAGCACAGACACUCUUGAUGUCCAGAGAGCUAAGAAAGCAUCCGAGAUGGCCAGCCAGAAGCAAUACAAGAAGGACUUAGAAAAUGAAAUUAAAGGGAAAGGAAUGCAAGUGAGCAUGGAUAUCCCGGAUAUCCUUCGAGCCAAGAGGACAUCUGAAAUCUAUAGCCAGGUUGGUCAAGAAUGAAGAUGCUCAGAAUCGUGUAUUCCAAUGUCAUGUUG
Molecule: small RNA, 272 nt
Filed under: Pongo abelii (Sumatran orangutan)
Lineage: Eukaryota; Metazoa; Chordata; Mammalia; Primates; Hominidae
Description: retained intron
Source: RNAcentral